Molecule: non-coding RNA, 5316 nt
Organism: Monodelphis domestica (gray short-tailed opossum)
Lineage: Eukaryota; Metazoa; Chordata; Mammalia; Didelphimorphia; Didelphidae
Source: RefSeq, a predicted model, not a curated record
GACUCCCCCGCCCCUUCCUGCUGGUCUUUAAUUGGACGGCCCAGGUGACGCAGAACCUACGUAACUAGAAGGUGGUGCGUGCACGCCGCCCGAGUCGGUUGGCUAAUUUGCGGCUCGUGGACGCGGACUGAACUAAGUCCGCCUCUUCUGUCCCCUUCUCCCUGGAGUAGUUUCUUCCUCGCAUCUCACAUGCGCAGUUUCUUCGCCCCACCUUACUCGAGCUUCGUCCAAUCACUUCGGUUCCCAGAAUCAAUAUGGUGUAUUGGUUCCCAGGCAGAAGAGCAGGAAGGGCUAGGCAGUGAGAGGAUGAAAGGAGAAAGGAGAGAGUGAAGAAUCUAGGGAAGAGAGAACAGUCAGGAUACUGCAGUUAGAUGGGGUGAGUUACCUGGAUUCUGGCAGGUCCGAGAAAGAGGAAGAAGAAGCAGCAGGAGAGCAGGUGGCAACAAUGUUUGGGGAUACGCCUGACCCUCCCAAGGGAAAAACCUCUUUUCGAAGGCAAGGUCGAGAAGGUGGUGGGGCCCGAGCCAGCUCCCCACCCCCAACUGUAUGCCUUCUGGGUCUAGGCCUAUUUGGAUGUGGAGAGAAGGCUGACCAUGCACAUCCCCCUUCCCCAGGAGGUCCCAGGUCCGGGCAGGAGUGGCUUCGACCCAAAGAAGGCCUAGGAGUAGCAGGGAGGCCAGGGCCCUGAGCCCUCCACUGACGGAUGGGGGGACGGGGGCUUACAGGCCCCUCCCCCUCCUCUACCCGGACUCUCCCAGACUCCGGGGCUUCAGAGAUGGCAAUCUUCAGUUCCAGCUUCAUAGGAUUUCCAGGCCCUAAACCUGUUCUCAUCUCCUGGAUGGAAGAAGAAACAUAGGUAUGGGACAGGAGCCCAAGAUCCUAAGGAGAAAAAGAAUCGUACAAGAAAAACCUACAGAGGUUUCCAUCUUUUGGAUAAGUUCCAGUUUGAGAUCUUCCAGAGCUUGUUGAUAGUUUCCAUUUUGGGAGGCAUGUUCUGAUUUUUUUUGGAUUUCCUCCUGAUUCUCCUCUUUUCCUUGAGUACUUCCACCAUAAAAGUUUUCAAUAGUCACUUUUUUCCCUUUCUUCCUGGAGGAUUGAUUUUGGGCCAUGUGCGCCAUCCCUUUGGUGGUUUUAUUCCCCUUUCCUUUUUUGGUCUGAGGUCUGGGUUAUAUGAGCGGUUUUUCUGUGAAUUUAGGUUGCUUCAGACUAGUUCUUCCCAGCCUCCGAGGUUUCUUAGAGCGCUGGGUCCCUGAUCACAGCCACACUGCCCAGGUGUUCAGCUCCGCCCAGAUAAUCAACACGUGGUCAGCCCCUGGUGUUUAGCUCCUCGGAGAUGUUCUGCGCAGCCGCCCCAAGUACAGCUCCGCUGACCCCCGUAAUCAGCGCUGGAUUCUCCAGUGAAACCGCCCUGAGACUUUUUUCCUGGCAGUCCCCAGAUCCCAAGGACCCUGGAGUGCCCCCCCCCAGACAGAGACGUUCCCCACUCACUCGCUGUCCCCCUGAGCGCUCAGGUAGCUCACUCUGGUUUGGUGGGGGAGGUGGGGUGGGGGAAGGGCAGCUCAGUUCACUUUUCUGUGCAAGCUUUUCCUCCUUAUUAUAGUGUGGAAAUGUUCAAGCCCCACGUACCUUCGCCUCUGUGGAGUACUGGGAGUACUGGGGUGUCCUUCUGUUCCUCCAAAGGUAGUUUUUAUGCUGCUUUGAUGUAGUCUAUUUCGUUGGGUGCCGGGGAGAGGAAGCGUGUGGCGUCUAGAUUGCAGCCAUGCUUACCCGGAAGUCCAACAAAAGGAAAUUUCUCAUUGGGGGUAUCUAAAAAGUACAUCUCAGCCUGUACUCUAAGGCCUGCCUAUCAAGAAGUAGUAGACCGCAUCUUUCUUCAGGAAUUGUGGCAGGUCAGAGUUCCCAAUUUUGGUUAAAUUUGUGGAUGAAAGGCCACCACACUGUUUCCUGUCAAUCUUCCACAUUAGCUUCACCCCUCUAAAAGAAACUAUUCUCAAAACUCCCACAAUUCUCAGACUUUGCCCCAGGUACACAAAUGCUUUCUCACAUUUUUCUCAGAGCUAGAAAGAACCUCAGCAAUGAUUUAGUCAAAUCUAUAUUUGAACAGAAACCCCUUCUUCAACAUGUCUCACAAGUGAUCAUCCAUCCACCUGCUAGAAGGCCUCCUGUUUUGAUUGGGAACUUAAUUACAUCCUAAGAUAGUCUAUUCCAUUCUUGUAUUUCUCUAGUUGUUUGGAAAUUUUCUUUACAUUGACCUUGUCUGUCUUUCUGAAACUUCAACCCAUACCUCCUAAUUUUAUCCUUUUGGCCAGUCAGAACAAGUAUACUCUUUCUUCCAUGCGAUAGCCCCUCAAACAAUUAAAAAUAGCCACUUUGUGCCCACUUCAAGCUUUUUAAUAGCUAUUGUUACCUUUAUGAUUUUUUUUAUUCACUUGCCUCAAAUGGGGAUCUUGAGAAUCUAGAGGCUAUUUCUUUCUUUUCUUUUUUAAUAACCUUUUCUUUCUGAGUUAGUGACAGUACUAGGACAGAAGGGCAAGAGCUAAGCAAUUGGGGUUAAGUGAUUUGCCCAGGAUCAUGAGGUCAAAUUUAGACCCAAGUCCUCUCAACUCUAAACCUGUCUUUUAAUCCACUGAGCUAUGUGGCUGCUCCUGGAGGCUAUUUCUAACAAAUAUUUAUCAACUCCUUAUUCGCUAAAAGUACUGUUGUGUAUCUAGGUUGCCAGGAUUCCCUUGUUGCUCCAAAAUUUAUCAAUGCUUCAUUUUUUAAAGGGCAAGGCAAUGAGGGUUAAGUGACUUGCCUAGGGUCACAUAGCUAGGAGAUAUCAGAGACCAGAUUUGAACCCAAGACUUCCCAUCUCUUAAGCCACCUGUCUACCCUCAAAGGAUGAUUUUACCUAGUUCUUUUUCUCUUCUAUCCACACACCGCAGUAUAUAGGAUCAUAGACUUAAAAUGGACCUUAGAAGCCAAGCAGUCCUCACCACACCUCAUUUUCUAGAUUAGAAAACUGAGGCCCAAGGAAAUUAAGUGAGAGAGUUUGGAACUCAGAAUUAAAAAAAAAUAAAUGUUAAGGUUCCACUAUAACCCGAAGGGAUUCAUAAUUAAAAAAAAAAAACUAUCCACAGUCAAAGAAGGAACUGUUGGAAUCUGAUUUCAGAUCAAAGCAUGCCAUCUUUCACUUUCUUUCCUUGUUUCACUUUCUUUCCUUCAUGAGUUUUUUAUUGUAUGUGGGAUAUGUGACUUCAGUCAUGACAUGGGGAAUAUGGAAAUAUGUAUUGCAAGAAAGCAUUGCUAUAACCUAUAUUCAACUAUUUAUUGUCUCAGGGUCUGGGGAAAGGGGAAAGAGAGAACCUGAAUCACAAAAAUUUCAGAAAACAAAUUGUCAAAAAUUGUUUCUAUAUUGUAAUAGUUAAGAGAGUGGUCACCAAUUUGAAAGAAUUAAAUUAAACUUAUGAGGCUGUUAGUAGCUUUAACAAUUUAAUUUAAUUUAAAUGGAGAUAUAGUAAAAAGGGGGAAACAUAGGAAGGAGAUAGAGAAUUGCCUAUCUUAAUACCCUAGAGUCGGUCUUCAAUAAAAGUCACCAAUAUCAGAAUCUAUUUCAAGCCAGAGUCUAUAUCUGAAUCUGAGUCUCAGUCCUCUCCCACUUCCUGCUGGGUCUCAACUUAUAAGCAGUUUUCUUCACCCACUAGCUCUCCAACAUCACCUCCCAGGAACCAAUCACAGUUCCUCAAUUUGCCUGGCACCACCCAGGGGGCAGUGCCUGUGGGAUCAAUUUCCUGUCUCCAAGGGUGUGCUUGUUCUUGCAAUGAAUGGUAAAGGGUCUUCAAGAUUCUGACUGAUUACAUUAAAAGUUGCUGAUUGAUUUAAAUUAUUUAAAAAGAGAAGUCCAAAUUCCUGAUUAAUUAAAUAAAAAAACAAAUUCCCUUCUCACAAUUCCCCCUGUGAUUCUAUUGGGAGAUGUGCAUGUUGAAAUCCCCCUCAUUUGACGGUCUCUGGAGAUUAACAUGCCUAGUCUCUCCAAUGAAUCAUUUCAAAUAACCAACCUAUUUGAGUCUCCCACUAGAAGUGCAUAAAAUAUUGCAUUUUCUAAGGGGAGAUUAUAAAAUCUGGGGACAAAAGAGAAAGAAAACAGAAACAAUAAUUAAUAGAAGCAUUGACAAAAAGCCAAUUAGGGGGCAUUCCCCUCUGGCAUAAGAAUUUACAUUCAGAAUAAAUUAUAUGUUCAACUGCCCACAGUUCAAUUCACCACAUCCCAGAGUUCACUCUGGAUCUCUAUGUAGCGGGUGGUUUCCACUAGUAUCCCCUGGCACCCUUUUCAAAAGAUUCACUUUCUUGAUUGAAGGUGCUAGCAAGUUUCUUUUCCUAAAAUUCGUUCAAAAGAUUUCAAACCCUGGAAUAUAGGAUAAUUAUACAAUAUGUAAUUGAAAUUUUUAAAUUCAAUUAAAAUGAAUGUUUUUUUAAAUCUAUGUAAUUGAAAAAUAUCUAAUAAAAUAAAUUAAAAUAUUUUUUAUUUUUAUUUUUGAUGUUUGCACUAGGAUGUUUAUUUAGAAUCUAUAUCCUCAAUCAUAUCCCCCUCGACCCAUGUAAUCAAGCAGUUGUUUUUCUUCUGUGUUUCUUCUCCCACAGUUUUUCCUCUGGAUGUGGAUAGUGUUCUUUCUCAUAGAUCCCUCUGAGUUGUUCAGGAUCACUGCAUUGCCACUAAUGGAGAAGUCCAUUACAUUUGAUUGUACUACAGUGUAUCAGUCUCUGUGUACAAUGUUUUCCUGGUUCUGCUCCUCUCACUCUGCAUCACUUCCUAGAGGUUGUUCUGGUCACCAUGGAAUUCCUCCACUUUAUUAUUCCUUUGAGCACAAUAGUAUUCCAUCACCAACAUGUACCAAAAUUUGUUCAACCAUUCCCAAAUUGAAGGGUAUCCCCUCAUUUUCCAAUUUUUUGCCACCACAAAGAGCGCAGCUAUGAAUAUUCUUGUACAUGUCUUUUUCUUUAUCUCUUUGGGGUACAAAACCAGCAGUGCUAUGACUGGAUCAAAGGGCAGACAGUCUUUUAGCACUCUUUGGGCGUAGUUCCAAAUUGCCCUCCAGAAUGGUUGGAUCAAUUCACAACUCCAUCAGCAGUGUAUUAAUGUCCCAACUUUGCCACAUUCCCUCCAACAUUCAUUACUUUCUUUUGCUGUCAUGUUAGCCAAUCUGCUAGGUGUGAGGUGAUACUUCAGAGUUGUUUUGAUUUGCAUCUCUCUGAUUAUAAGAGAUUUAUAACACUUUUUCAUGUAUUUAUUAAUAGUUUUGAUUUCUUUAACUGAAAAUUGCCUAUUCAUGUCCUUUA